CUUAAAGGAAUUGACGGGGAGCACCACAACAGGCGGAGCCUGCGGUUUAAUCGGACUCAACGCCGGAAAUACUCACCGGAUAAGACAGCUGGAUGAUAGCCGGGCUGAAGACUCUGCUUGACUAGCUGAGAGGAGGUGCAUGGCCGUCGUCAGUUCGUACUGUGAAGCGUCCUGUUAAGUCAGGCAACGAGCGAGACCCACGCCCACAGUUGCCAGCGUACUCUCCGGAGUGACGGGUACACUGUGGGGACCGCCGCUGCUAAAGCGGAGGAAGGAAUGGGCAACGGUAGGUCAGUAUGCCCCGAAUAUCCCGGGCUACACGCGAGCUACAAUGGUUGGUACAAUGGGUAUCUACCCCGAAAGGGGACGGGAAUCUCCUAAAACCAAUCUUAGUUCGGAUUGAGGGCUGCAACUCGCCCUCAUGAAGCUGGAAUCCGUAGUAAUCGCGUUUCAACAGAACGCGGUGAAUACGUCCCUGCUCCUUG
This 485-nucleotide ribosomal RNA is filed under the name uncultured Methanolinea sp. RNAcentral describes it as "bacterial SSU rRNA". It matches the Rfam family "Archaeal small subunit ribosomal RNA", at positions 855 to 1339 of the family's 1478-position model. Lineage: Archaea; Methanobacteriati; Methanobacteriota; Methanomicrobia; Methanomicrobiales; Methanoregulaceae. The record is from RNAcentral.